This is a non-coding RNA of Oryctolagus cuniculus (rabbit), 598 nucleotides long. NCBI's taxonomy places the organism in Eukaryota, Metazoa, Chordata, Mammalia, Lagomorpha, Leporidae. The record is from RefSeq and is a predicted model, not a curated record.
UCCGCAUUCCGUUAGUUAAAUAAUAAUCUUCCCCUGGGUUGUUGAUUUUAGUAAUGCGUGUUGAUUCUCUGCCACCUUGGAAAAGUGUUGUCAGAGCUACACAGGCCCUGAAAACCCAGGCUCUAGAAGACGGUGUGCUCUCUUCCGGGUCACGACAGCUCCCAGCAGGUCUAAGGCCAGACAUAUAUGUGCUUGUGAGAAUAACUCCUCUUCACAAGGACUCCAGGGAUGAACAGCCAAAAGACAACCUGGCUCUGUCACUCUGUCCACACAACUAACCUGUCAUGGAACCCCAGGCCCACAGCAUAAAGUAAGCACCACCUGUGUGCAGCCCCCAGGCUGAAGGAAGCCCACUGUGCCGUCACCAUAACUCCACAGGUCUCUGCUGAGCUCCUGGUCAAACUGAGGACAAAGCCUGAAUAAGUGUGCAGUCAGGUAAGAAAAACCUCCUGAAUCUCCUGUGCAAUGGGAAUUGGCUGAUUGAGUUGUCAGGCCAGUUCUGUCCCAGGCUGUCCGUUCUCAGGAUGUGGCCACUGACCAAGAGGAACUGUUCCUGUCAUACCAUUUGUGGGUCUUUUUUUGUUUGUUUGUUUUUUGA